UUUGUACUCCCUCCGUCCGGAAAUACUUGUCGGAAAAAUGGAUGUAUCUAGACGUAUCCAGUUUUAGAUACAUCCAUUUUUAUCCAUUUCUCCGACAAGUAUUUAUAGACGGAGGGAGUAGUAC
This is a non-coding RNA of Triticum aestivum (bread wheat), 124 nucleotides long. The record is from Rfam. Lineage: Eukaryota; Viridiplantae; Streptophyta; Magnoliopsida; Poales; Poaceae.